ACGUUUCUUAACCAAGUCCGGGAAAAUACCAUGACAUUGGCUCCAACUUGGAUGGCUGACCUUGAGUUCUUCUGUCUCAUAGACCCCUCUUAUUAGUGAAUUAAAUGUGUAUUAAUAUUAAAGCAAAACAAAAAAAAAUACAUCCCUAUGUAAUAACACUUUUCUGGUGCCAUAGCCAACUGCUUGAAGCUAGAUACUUUAUAUAGAAAAGGGGUUUAUCUCUCUUACAGUGCUGGAGGCUUGGGAAUGUACUGUCAGUCAUUUUCAAAUCUACUUAGAGCCUCUAGGUGAAUGACAUCACACAGCGGUGGCAACACAUGUCAAACUCAAGAGCAGUAUGUACAGAAAAAAAAAAUGGCGGCACCAGCUUAUCCCAAAGGAAUAAUUCCAAUUAUGCCAGAUACACAUUGAUUGUUUCUGGAGGUGUUACGCACAUGACAACUACCACCAGGCCAUACCACUUAAAGGGUCCCUACCUCAGAAUAUGUCCAACUUGGAAAAGCAUUUGAGUGUAGCAUCAUAGAGGCAGAUGUAAUCAUUAAUAUCUCCCUUUUUCCCCCUAAAAGAACUAUGGCUGUCUGGUAUGCCGCAGUUGAUAACAUGUCAGUUGUUUAACAAUAGAUAUUUCGCCUCUCUAUCCACUAUCAGGCGAUUGACUUCCUACAAAAGCAAAAGACAACUCAUUCAGUCCCUGGCUAAUUUUACAAAGUUCCUCUGUCUUUUUCUUUUUUCAGAACCUAGUAACUUAUGCUGUACUUAUGAAGCCAAAGCAUUGAUUUUCCCAUAAGCCUCAGCAGGAUAUGUGACUUCUCAUAGAGCAUCAUUUUAUAUGCUUUCUUCUGUUAAUAUUUUGAAAAGUUGUGGACAUGUUAUUUUGUUGAUUUCUGAUAACUUGGUCCUGACAUUUUUUUAAUAACCAGUCUUCCAUAAUAAAUAGUCACUACAAAUAA
Molecule: long non-coding RNA, 950 nt
Organism: Mastomys coucha (southern multimammate mouse)
Lineage: Eukaryota; Metazoa; Chordata; Mammalia; Rodentia; Muridae
Exons: 2
Source: RefSeq, a predicted model, not a curated record